GGAUCGAUAGCUCAGUGGUAGAGCGAGAGAUUGCAGUCCUUCUAUUUGCAGAUAUCUCUAGGCCCCGCGUUCGAACCGCGGUCGGUCCU
Colletotrichum sp. SAR 10_99 is the source of this 89-nucleotide non-coding RNA. Lineage: Eukaryota; Fungi; Ascomycota; Sordariomycetes; Glomerellales; Glomerellaceae. The record is from the annotation of a GenBank genome assembly.